This 164-nucleotide ribosomal RNA is filed under the name uncultured bacterium. RNAcentral's name for it is "partial 16S ribosomal RNA". It matches the Rfam family "Bacterial small subunit ribosomal RNA", at positions 355 to 511 of the family's 1533-position model. The record is from RNAcentral.
UAGGGAAUCUUCCACAAUGGACGAAAGCCUGAUGGAGCAACGCCGCGUGUGUGAUGAAGGCUUUCGGGUCGUAAAGCACUGUUGUAUGGGAAGAACAGCUAGAAUAGGAAAUGAUUUUAGUUUGACGGUACCAUACCAGAAAGGGACGGCUAAAUACGUGCCAG